RNAcentral lists this transfer RNA (78 nucleotides) under Flavobacteriaceae bacterium. RNAcentral describes it as "tRNA-Ser". It matches the Rfam family "tRNA". Rfam says of the family: Transfer RNA (tRNA) molecules are approximately 80 nucleotides in length. Their secondary structure includes four short double-helical elements and three loops (D, anti-codon, and T loops). The record is from RNAcentral. Lineage: Bacteria; Pseudomonadati; Bacteroidota; Flavobacteriia; Flavobacteriales; Flavobacteriaceae.
CGCGAUGUAGAGCAGUCUGGUUAGCUCGCUUGCUUGCUUUGCAAGAGGUCAUCGGUUCGAAUCCGGUCAUCGCUACUA